RNAcentral lists this ribosomal RNA (870 nucleotides) under uncultured archaeon. RNAcentral's name for it is "bacterial SSU rRNA". It matches the Rfam family "Archaeal small subunit ribosomal RNA", at positions 7 to 885 of the family's 1478-position model. The record is from RNAcentral.
GUUGAUUCUGCCGGAGGCCACUGCUAUCGGAGUUCGAUUAAGCCAUGCGAAUCGAGAGGUGCAAGACCUCGGCAUACUGCUCAGUAACACGUGGACAACCUAACCUACAGAGGGGGAUAACCCCGGGAAACUGGGGAUAAUACCCCAUAGACUAUGGAUGCUGGAAUGCUUCGUAGUUGAAAGGUCCGCCGCUGUAGGAUGGGUCUGCGGCCGAUUAGGUUGUUGUUGGGGUAACGGCCCAACAAGCCUGUAAUCGGUACGGGUUGUGGGAGCGAGAGCCCGGAGAUGGAUUCUGAGACACGAAUCCAGGCCCUACGGGGCGCAGCAGGCGCGAAAACUUUGCAAUGCGGGAAACCGUGACAAGGGAACUCUGAGUGCCCGUUAAAUCGGGCUGUCCAUCGGUUUAAAUAACCGGUGAAGAAAGGGCCGGGCAAGACCGGUGCCAGCCGCCGCGGUAAUACCGGCGGCUCGAGUGGUGGCCACUAUUACUGGGCUUAAAGCGUUCGUAGCUGGUCUGUUAAGUCUCUGGGGAAAUCUACUGGCUUAACCAAUAGGCGUUUCAGGGAUACUGGCAGACUAGGGACCGGGAGAGGUGAGAGGUACUCCAGGGGUAGGAGUGAAAUCCUGUAAUCCUUGGGGGACCACCUGUGGCGAAGGCGUCUCACCAGAACGGCUCCGACAGUGAGGGACGAAAGCUGGGGGAGCAAACCGGAUUAGAUACCCGGGUAGUCCCAGCCGUAAACGAUGCGCGUUAGGUGUAUCGGUGACCACGAGUCACCGACGUGCCGAAGAGAAAUCGUGAAACGUGCCGCCUGGGAAGUACGGUCGCAAGGCUGAAACUUAAAGGAAUUGGCGGGGGAGCACCACAAC